This 1952-nucleotide long non-coding RNA is filed under the name Equus asinus (donkey). Its description in RNAcentral is "lncRNA (ENSEASG00005036831.1)". Lineage: Eukaryota; Metazoa; Chordata; Mammalia; Perissodactyla; Equidae. The record is from RNAcentral.
AAAUAGACAAAAGAAAACUCUGACCCUGUCAGGUUGCUGGAACACUGAGAGGUACCUCCAUCAGAGAUGGGUGACAUCUCCAUCCUGGGAGAUCAGCAGAGGUCAUCAGACAACCGUUGGUCCUAAAUGCUUCACUUAGCUGCCAGAAGGCAGGGGCCUAGAAGGAAUCAUCCCUUCAGAUCCCUUUCAGAUCUGAGAAUCUGAUCCUGACUGACUGAUUCAGAGGGAGAAGAAAACAGAUGGAAUAUUUGCCUGCCUACUCAUUUCUUUCAAAUCUUCAUAAUGGUAAAUAAGCCUCUUGCCAGUCUCACGACUCAGAAAUGCAAGAAUUAAAGGUGACCUCUUUCACGGAAACGCCCACCUUUCUCUACUGUGCCACUCCCUCUGCUCCUCCUGCCUCACUUUACCCUCCCUGCCUCAGACUGACUCCUGGGAAGGGGUAAACGAUGAUCUUUUACAUGGUGGUUCCUUUCCUUGCUGGGUUUCCCUGAGAAGGACAUAACUUUUUUAGCUGAUAAUGUGUUGCCUGCCCUGUUUGAAGAUGUAGAAUUGUGUGCCUGCUGGCCCAGCCCCGAGUCCACUUCAGGUCCUAGACCAGAUUCCACCUCCAAGAGUCCCCUUCCAUGCACACACCACUUCGCUGGAAAGGCAGAAACGGUAAAGAUAAAUGAUCAAGAUCACGGGAUGAUGAGACUGUGUCCCCAUACGAAGGCAACAGGAUGGAGAGUAGUUGCACUAGUUACUUGGGAAAAGAUAUACAAGAAAGGAAUUAGGCUGAUAAAUAUCAAUAUGGGAAAAGAAACCAAGGUGCCAUGUAAUCCUACCCUUUUCCCAUCUCCAUGUGAGGAAAACCAGCCCUUCCUACUCAAUCUCCAGCAAAGUUGAUGCUGCUGAGAAGCUAUCCAGGCCUCUCAGGCACAAAGGAAAUAUUAAGAGUUCAUGUGUUCUCCUCUCCUGCUGAUAACAUUAAUCUAAAGGCUUUUUCCCAGUGCCCUGGGAAGAUCCACAGAAGUUUGCAAAAAUGCUCUGCGGCGUGUUUUCAGUUUACAGCCACACGUGGGGAUGUUGUGCUAGAUGCUGCAGGGAAUUCUGCAGCCAGCAGAUUUCGCUUAUUUGAUGGAGCAUGCUCAUCGUGGACCCGGAGAUGGGGUGCUGCGGCCAAGAGAAGUCGACUCUUCAGCACUCCAUCCAACCAUGGAAGGAUUAGGUGCAUUAGAGACCCCCAAGAGGGGUUGCUAAGGACAGGACUUGAAGCCUCUCUGAUAAAUGUGCCCUGGGAGAAGUUGCAGCAGUGCAUGCAGAAGAUAGGUAUUGGUGCUUUCUCUGCAGUUUCCUCGGAAACUUCCCGCUUUCUGCCUGACAACAAUUGUACAAGUUGUUAGUUUCCAGCCAGCCCUCUUGUCCCUCUCCUCUGGAGCCCACACACAUGGUGCGCUUACUGACGAGCAUGUGUUCUCGCUCUUUUCUGAUUUCCUGAAAACCUCCUGAGGAGAGACCUCUGAAGACUGAAGCCCACAACAUUCUGUCCUCUGGAUGGAGUAUUCAUGGAGCGCCCUGAAAAAAAGGCACCUGAACUGGUUAUCGUGUGCCUUCUGGAAGAAAAGGGGAUGGCAGAAAGCAGCAGUCUCCUGCCACGCUGGAAAAGCCCCCGAACGACCAAAUCGAGUUCUUUAGAGGCCUCUCCCAAGGUGAGCACAGAAACUUCUCCCUGCCUGCUUCACCAGGCACCUGGGGGCAGCUGGAUUUCACAGAGUUAGUGCCUGUGGAAGGUAAGACAUUUGUGUGCUUACGGUGUGUGUGACAUCUGGAUGACCUGGAGUCUUUCCCUCUUCACAGGCCGAUGCCCAGGCGGUGGUCCAGCCUCUCUUCCUAUGUUCAAUCAGAGGAAGUCACUCUAUUCCUACUGUUGUCUGGGAAUUAUGCAGAUGUUUGCAGGUUCCUGGAAGCCCCAG